This is a small nuclear RNA of Nannospalax galili (Upper Galilee mountains blind mole rat), 104 nucleotides long. Lineage: Eukaryota; Metazoa; Chordata; Mammalia; Rodentia; Spalacidae. The record is from Ensembl.
GUGCUUAGUUCAGCAGCACACAUGAUAAAAUUGGGAAAAUUUAAAGAUCAGCAUGGUCCUUGCACAAGGGUAACACUCAAAUUCCUGAAGUGUUUCAUUCUUGU